This 253-nucleotide ribosomal RNA is filed under the name uncultured bacterium. RNAcentral's name for it is "partial 16S ribosomal RNA". It matches the Rfam family "Bacterial small subunit ribosomal RNA", at positions 524 to 776 of the family's 1533-position model. The record is from RNAcentral.
UACGAAGGGUGCUAGCGUUGUUCGGAAUCAUUGGGCGUAAAGCGCACGUAGGCGGCCUGAUAAGUCGGGUGUGAAAGCCCUGGGCUCAACCCAGGAAGUGCACUCGAAACUGUCAGGCUUGAAUAUGGAAGAGGGUCGCGGAAUUCCCGGUGUAGAGGUGAAAUUCGUAGAUAUCGGGAGGAACACCAGUGGCGAAGGCGGCGACCUGGGCCAAUAUUGACGCUGAGGUGCGAAAGCGUGGGGAGCAAACAGG